AGAAUCAACGCUGGCGGCGUGCCUAACACAUGCAAGUCGCACGAGAAAGUGGAGCAAUCCAUGAGUACAGUGGCGCACGGGUGAGUAACACGUGAAUAAUCUACCUCCGAGUGGGGAAUAACUGAGAGAAAUCUUAGCUAAUACCGCAUAAUACCCACGGGUCAAAGCAGCAAUGCGCUUGGAGAGGAGUUCGCGGCCGAUUAGCUAGUUGGCGGGGUAAUGGCCCACCAAGGCGAUGAUCUGUA
RNAcentral lists this ribosomal RNA (245 nucleotides) under uncultured bacterium. RNAcentral's name for it is "partial small subunit ribosomal RNA". It matches the Rfam family "Bacterial small subunit ribosomal RNA", at positions 26 to 285 of the family's 1533-position model. The record is from RNAcentral.